GCCAUAUUUACCUGACUCUGGAGCACAGGUAGUACUGUUGUAAAUAAUGGCUGAAUCUUUUGCACUGUUCCUGCAUAGAAGGAAAACUACAUGCUGGAUGUCCUGAGGCUGUUUCAUUCUCUCUCUGAGAAAAAAAAGAUUGAAGACUCAUCUCGUCAUGUAAUGGGGAUGAUUAAUGGGACCUGAAAUUAACAGACAAGGAGCAGAAAAUGAGGAAGCUUGCGUUUGGGAAAGAGAAAAACGUGUGCAUGCUUCUGAAAUCAUCGUUCUGUCUGUCGCUGCUGCUUCAGUGUGACAGCACGGAUAACUACGUCAUGCAUCACAAUGCCGGCCAAGUCUUUUUAUAGCAUCUGAUCUGAACUCACGCUGGAACGUUCCUCCGUUAAUCAAGGUUAAUACUUUUAUUAAAAUUGUCGUCAUAAAUCCGGCUCAAUGUGAUCAGAGAAGGACCUUUCAGAGGAAGGGAUUUGCUCGGUGUCAUAAAGGACAAAGCCACAGAAAAAUAAAAUUGCAUGCCUAUAUUUAACCGUUCACACAUCCACUGGAUUUUUCGUAGCAUUAAAAGAAUUAAAGUGUCACCUGGCCUUGAGACGCAGCAUCUGUCUUCAGAGCUAAAAGCUGGAGUCGCCUCGUAACGCACUUUAAGAGCGAGUCAAGAGGGGCUUUUACACACAAGGGUGAAGGAGAGCCAGAGACUGACUGACAGCGAUGUGGGAAUAGUCUCUAAACGGCACACUUUAAUCAUUAGUAUCUUCAGGCUAUCAAGAGAAUAGAUGCUGUAGAACAGUUACUGUCCACUGGGCAUAUUUCACCCUGAAUUAGAAGAUUUAUUUUACAAUUACAAUUUUUGGCGUUGUAAAAAUUAUUAUCAUUUUACAUUUAUGCAUGCAUUAAUGCAUGAUGGCUGCAAUACA
Carassius gibelio (silver crucian carp) is the source of this 914-nucleotide long non-coding RNA. RefSeq lists it as uncharacterized. NCBI's taxonomy places the organism in Eukaryota, Metazoa, Chordata, Actinopteri, Cypriniformes, Cyprinidae. The transcript is spliced from 3 exons. The record is from RefSeq and is a predicted model, not a curated record.